Molecule: ribosomal RNA, 497 nt
Filed under: uncultured bacterium
Lineage: Bacteria
Description: partial 16S ribosomal RNA
Rfam family: Bacterial small subunit ribosomal RNA
Source: RNAcentral
GAUGAACGCUGGCGGCGUGCCUAAUACAUGCAAGUCGAGCGAACAGGCGAGGAGCUUGCUCCUCUGACGUUAGCGGCGGACGGGUGAGUAACACGUGGAUAACCUACCUAUAAGACUGGGAUAACUUCGGGAAACCGGAGCUAAUACCGGAUAAUAUAUUGAACCGCAUGGUUCAAUAGUGAAAGACGGUUUUGCUGUCACUUAUAGAUGGAUCCGCGCCGCAUUAGCUAGUUGGUAAGGUAACGGCUUACCAAGGCAACGAUGCGUAGCCGACCUGAGAGGGUGAUCGGCCACACUGGAACUGAGACACGGUCCAGACUCCUACGGGAGGCAGCAGUAGGGAAUCUUCCGCAAUGGGCGAAAGCCUGACGGAGUAACGCCGCGUGAGUGAUGAAGGUCUUCGGAUCGUAAAACUCUGUUAUUAGGGAAGAACAAAUGUGUAAGUAACUAUGCACGUCUUGACGGUACCUAAUCAGAAAGCCACGGCUAACUACGUG